GUAAUCGCGGAUCAGCAUGCCGCGGUGAAUACGUUCCCGGGCCUUGUACACACCGCCCGUCACACCAUGGGAGUUUGUAACACCCGAAGUCAGUAGUCUAACCGCAAGGAGGACGCUGCCGAAGGUGGGAUAAGCGACUGGGGUGAAGUCGUAACAAGGUAUC
This 163-nucleotide ribosomal RNA is filed under the name uncultured bacterium. Its description in RNAcentral is "partial 16S ribosomal RNA". It matches the Rfam family "Bacterial small subunit ribosomal RNA", at positions 1338 to 1500 of the family's 1533-position model. The record is from RNAcentral.